GCGGCCCGGGGUCUGCCCAUCUCCUCCUGGGCCCUCCGCGAGCGCUCCAGUCCGAAGAGACCCAGUGACUGUCGCGUUCCCAGGAGUCGAGACUCUCAGGGGGCCCGGGCUGGGGGGAGGAGGAAUUCUGCCCAGACUCUGCAGCAGUUGGAGCAAGCAAGGUUUCUCCUGGGUGCUUCCUGGAAAAGUUGCAAAAUUGCUCUUCACCUGUAAGAACAUGCUUUUUAUCUUCCAGUCUCUUCUUGUCAAUUUGGAAGUUGCAGACAGCCGGCUCAGGUUGUGAGCUCUGAAGGCAGAAGUGGUUCAUCUUUGCUUCCCCGGGGACUAGCAUUGUGAAUGGUCCUCAACUCUUUAACUCAAUAUUUGAUGGAUGCAUGAUUCUAUAUAAUAUACUAUGGAAAAACUGAUGAUAGAGUCAUUCACUAUGCUGGUCACACUGAAUAAAACAUUUGAACCAUCAUGUUAACAAAGCAAACAGGCAUCUGUGACAUGUGAGAAGAUUUGAAGUUGCCCAGGACAGAGCCCCUACUUAGAAGAUAUCUCCCAGCAUCUCAGGUGAAUUAUACCAUUGGCAGAGAAACUAGAGUGAAGCCCACAGACGUGCCUGAUGGAACCAAGAUCGUGAAGAGUAGUCAAGAGCUCAAGUAUUACUUGUAUGAUAAAAGUAAAAAACAAAAGCAUACAGGUAAUCUGGUGAGCAGCUGAGACAGAAUGUCUGGGUUCCCAUUGAGUGGCUGAUGGAGGAUUGAAGAAGAAGAUGCUCUGGUCUCAAACCUAGAGGGGAUCUUCCUGACCCAGGGAUUGAACCCAAGUCUCCUGCAUUAGCAAGAGGAUUCUUUCACCACUGAGCCACCGGGUAGGAACUAAAUACUUUGUAUUUGUUGAAGAAAAGAAGGAAGGAAAGUAGGGAGAAACGAAGAUAAGGCGUUAUUCUCAUCGUGGAGAAGCUUACAGCUGGGGAGGGAGAAACACAACAGACUAAUGUAAAACAAGAUUGUGCGGCACUAGAGAGCCUUGUCCCUGGAUGCGUGGUGUGCAGAGGAGGAAGAAGCCACUGUGGCCUGGAGCCAUCACAGAAACCUUGCAGUACAAGCAAUCUCAAUUAGCUCCAGAGAAUGGAUGGGUUCUGGAGAGGUGAAGAGCAGGAGAGAGAUUAUCUUUGGAAGUGGGAGGGUCUGACAAGGCUGGUGGUUGAGGGUGUAGAAAGGAGGGAGUGCUUCCUUAACACUGUAUUUUUAAAGGAAGCAGUGGGUUUUGUGAGAAUGGCGAGAUGGAUUGUUUCUUUCAAUAAAUAUUGUGGAGUGCCUACAAUCUGCUAUGACAGAGGAGACCAUCGACGCAAACUCCUCCAUGCUCAGGCUGAGAGAGUGCUGCUGUUGAGAAGGAACGCUUGCAUUUUGGAACGCUGUUAAGAUUUGAGUAUGUAAUAACUUCAGUGCAUCUGGCUCAGCACAUUUAUUUUGAGAUUUUAUGGCUGCUAUCAUCUGCUCAGAGUGUGUGUUUCUCUCUUUAAGAUAAGACUGAGGUCACAGUUGUUUUCUGUUACCACUGAAAUUUCUUUCUUUCCUUUUUUUAAUUUUACUGUUUUUGUAUUUUUUUUGCUCAGUUUCAGUUAGUGAAAUAUAUAAAGAUGUAUUUAUCACUAUUAAUGUUAUUGUAAUCAUUACUUUUUACUGUCAUUCAGUUCUAAUUAAAGACACUGCUGCAUCCAUUACCAUC
This is a long non-coding RNA of Bos taurus (domestic cattle), 1719 nucleotides long. NCBI's taxonomy places the organism in Eukaryota, Metazoa, Chordata, Mammalia, Artiodactyla, Bovidae. The record is from Ensembl.